AUGGAAGGCUGGGGGAGUCGAAGGUAUUCGGCUGAGAGGAAACAAAAAGCAACCCUUGUUUCGACCCCUGGAACCUGAUCCGGCUCAUAUCGGCGAAGGAAAGCCCCUUUCCCCCAUC
Molecule: non-coding RNA, 118 nt
Filed under: Desulforapulum autotrophicum
Lineage: Bacteria; Pseudomonadati; Thermodesulfobacteriota; Desulfobacteria; Desulfobacterales; Desulfobacteraceae
Also listed under: 1 other name
Description: Desulfobacterium autotrophicum TPP sequence
Rfam family: TPP riboswitch aptamer (THI element)
About the family: Vitamin B(1) in its active form thiamin pyrophosphate (TPP) is an essential coenzyme that is synthesised by coupling of pyrimidine and thiazole moieties in bacteria. The previously detected thiamin-regulatory element, thi box was extended, resulting in a new, highly conserved RNA secondary structure, the THI element, which is widely distributed in eubacteria and also occurs in some archaea.
Source: RNAcentral